Molecule: ribosomal RNA, 468 nt
Filed under: uncultured bacterium
Lineage: Bacteria
Description: partial 16S ribosomal RNA
Rfam family: Bacterial small subunit ribosomal RNA
Source: RNAcentral
GACGAACGCUGGCGGCGUGCUUAACACAUGCAAGUCGAACGGAAAGGCCCUGCUUUUGUGGGGUGCUCGAGUGGCGAACGGGUGAGUAACACGUGAGUAACCUGCCCGUUACUGUGGGAUAACUUCAGGAAACUGGGGCUAAUACCGGAUAGGAGCUCCUGUUGCAUGGUGGGGGUUGGAAAGUUUCGGUGGUUGGGGUAGGACUCGCGGCUGAUCAGCUUGUUGGUGGGGUAGUGGCAUACCAAGGCUUUGACGGGUAGCCGGCCUGAGAGGGUGACCGGCCACAUUGGGACUGAGAUACGGGCCGGACUCCUACGGGGGGCAUCAGUGGGGAUUAUUGCACGAUGGGCGGAGGCAGGAUGCAGCAUCGCCGCGUGGGGGAGGACGGCCGUCGGGUUGUAACCCGCUUGCGCCUGUGACGAAGCGUGAGUGACGGUAAUGGGUAAAGAAGCACCGGCUAACUACGUG